Molecule: ribosomal RNA, 253 nt
Filed under: uncultured bacterium
Lineage: Bacteria
Description: partial 16S ribosomal RNA
Rfam family: Bacterial small subunit ribosomal RNA
Source: RNAcentral
UACGUAGGGGGCAAGCGUUGUCCGGAAUCAUUGGACGUAAAGCGCGUGUAGGCGGUUCGAUAAGUCUGCUGUGAAAGUCCAGGGCUCAACCCUGGGAUGCCGGUGGAUACUGUCGAGCUAGAGUACGGAAGAGGCGAGUGGAAUUCCCGGUGUAGCGGUGAAAUGCGCAGAUAUCGGGAGGAACACCAAUUGCGAAGGCAGCUCGCUGGGACGUCACUGACGCUGAGACGCGAAAGCGUGGGGAGCAAACAGG